Molecule: ribosomal RNA, 432 nt
Filed under: Toxoplasma gondii ME49
Lineage: Eukaryota; Apicomplexa; Conoidasida; Eucoccidiorida; Sarcocystidae
Description: Toxoplasma gondii rRNA TGME49_460090
Rfam family: Eukaryotic small subunit ribosomal RNA
Source: RNAcentral
UUAACCUGCUAAAUAGGAUCAGGAACUUCGUGUUCUUGUAUCACUUCUUAGAGGGACUUUGCGUGUCUAACGCAAGGAAGUUUGAGGCAAUAACAGGUCUGUGAUGCCCUUAGAUGUUCUGGGCUGCACGCGCGCUACACUGAUGCAUCCAACGAGUUUAUAACCUUGGCCGAUAGGUCUAGGUAAUCUUGUGAGUAUGCAUCGUGAUGGGGAUAGAUUAUUGCAAUUAUUAAUCUUCAACGAGGAAUGCCUAGUAGGCGCAAGUCAGCAGCUUGCGCCGAUUACGUCCCUGCCCUUUGUACACACCGCCCGUCGCUCCUACCGAUUGAGUGUUCCGGUGAAUUAUUCGGACCGUUUUGUGGCGCGUUCGUGCCCGAAAUGGGAAGUUUUGUGAACCUUAACACUUAGAGGAAGGAGAAGUCGUAACAAGGU